RNAcentral lists this transfer RNA (77 nucleotides) under Actinomycetes bacterium. RNAcentral describes it as "tRNA-Asn". It matches the Rfam family "tRNA". From Rfam's summary of the family: Transfer RNA (tRNA) molecules are approximately 80 nucleotides in length. Their secondary structure includes four short double-helical elements and three loops (D, anti-codon, and T loops). Lineage: Bacteria; Bacillati; Actinomycetota; Actinomycetes. The record is from RNAcentral.
UCCCCGGUAGCUCAAUUUGGCAGAGCAUUCGGCUGUUAACCGAAGGGUUGUAAGUUCGAGUCUUACCCGGGGAGCCA